CAAAUAUAUGUAUUAAUAAAAUCUCAGCAUUUGUUUUGUUCUAUUGGAAUCGAUAAAUAGACUGGAAAAAAUUGGAAAGAGUUAAUCGUUUGGCUACUGAAUAUAUUCGCGAGUGAUAAAAACUAAGAUCUUUAAUUUAAUAUUUACUCGUAUUUUUCAUAACAAACGUAACUUGCGGAUGGCCAAGCUGAUUUCAAAGAAGAAAAUCUACUUAGGGAAGUCAUCUGCUUGUUUGUCGAGAAAAGAUAGCGUCUCCCUUCAAAUGUGUGUUAAGGAAAAAAAGGCAAAACUUGAGCAUUGCCAACUAAUAGAAGAGAAUUUUAAAA
Molecule: non-coding RNA, 326 nt
Organism: Schizosaccharomyces pombe (fission yeast)
Lineage: Eukaryota; Fungi; Ascomycota; Schizosaccharomycetes; Schizosaccharomycetales; Schizosaccharomycetaceae
Source: the annotation of a GenBank genome assembly